RNAcentral lists this long non-coding RNA (1271 nucleotides) under Macaca fascicularis (crab-eating macaque). RNAcentral's name for it is "lncRNA (ENSMFAG00000050729.1)". The record is from RNAcentral. Lineage: Eukaryota; Metazoa; Chordata; Mammalia; Primates; Cercopithecidae.
CAAGACUCCAUCUCAAGAAAAAAAAAAAAUUUUUUUUGUUCCAUAGGUCUUGGGAAUCUUUUAUGCUCAUGAGGAAGCUAAUAUUUUCAAAUCUGUACAAUGUCAUUGCAUUUUUGUCAAUAAACGGUGUGUGCUUUACUGCAUUUCCUCAAAUUUCCUUCAGUGUCUGAGUCUAAUGGGGUUGCUAACUACCAUGUACUGAGAGCCUUCUGUUUGCCUGGCUUUACUACAAACAUUGCCCUUGUUAAUGCUCCUCUAAUCCCACCAUAAACCUGGGAGUCGGGCACAGCUGUCAUCUCCCUUGUGCAGAUGAGGAAGCUCCGGCUCAGAGAACUCAGCUGUAGUAAGUCAACACAGCUGGCCAGCAAAGGGUGAGGCUCAGGUGGUGUCUUCUUUCUCCCCAUGCUGGGCAGCUCAGGAGUGGUGUUUGUUAUGCAAAGCUGCCAAUCUGAUUUGCAAAAAAAAAUUCAUUGUGAAAAGCAUGUUGUAUUCAAGACAACUAUAUUUACUAAGAGUAGACAGAAUGAAAAAAUGAAUUUGAAUUAUUCUCAACCUAUUAUCAACCUUAUGCUGACCACAAAUAGGUAUUGAUUCAGCUAAAACUAUAAUUCCCUAACUAUACUCAACACAAGCUACUUUAGCAAAAGGAACAAGUGGUGCUUUAGUUGCAGUCUCAGAAGUCUUAGGUCUCACAUCCACAAACUUGUGCAGAACACCAAGGUGCCAGCCAUAGUCAGGUCCCCCACUUCCAACUCGCAGAGACGAUCUUUCCAGAGGGAGGGAAGAAGGAAAGAAGGGAGGAAGGUAGGAAAGGACAGAAGGAAGGAACGGUCUCCCCACUCCACAGAUGUGUUUUUCAGUUUCAUAACUUCCUAAUUUUAGACUUCAUGCUCUGUCUGAGGAAUCAGAUGUAUGUCAUUCCUCCAGAUUAAUGUUUCCUGGCCCUGUAACCAUAUUGCAAAUGUAUAUGCUAUGACAUAACCACAAAAGCAGGUCAUAAUAGUAUAUAUCAAGAUUAUAACCAUUUAACAUAUAACAGAUGCACUGCAGAAAAUGACUUCAGGAAAACACCACAAAAUACUAAAAGGUAAGUAGAACAGAUGGAGGAUUCUUUUUUUCUAGUUUCUAAAAAUAGUUUAAAUUAAAUUACCUUUCUAUUAAAAUGCUUCUGAGCCAGGUGCGGUGGCUCACGCCUGUAAUCCUAGCACUUUGAGAGGCCUAGGCAGGCUGAUCACGAGGUCAGAAGUUCAAGACUAGCCUGGCCAAUAUGG